GGGAGUGAAUGGGGCUGCAGGGGUUGUCUCUGUCAGACGGUAAAAUGGACCACAGCAAGUCAAGGAAAAAAAAUAAGGAUGGUAAAUGGCAGGCUCCAUUGGCAAGGAGGCCAUAAACUCCAUUUAAGGACCAUGCCUGAUUUCAAACCAAACGUCAACUCUCCCAGGAACGGAUUAUAACCGCACACCUUAAAUCAUCGGUCCCUGGAAAUGGCAUUAAAACAUCAGCUCCAGGAAUAGAAUAUAAACCCCAGUUAAAGGCUAUAAAGUCCAUCCAAAGAGCCGCUGGGAGACAAGCACAAGGAUGGGCCAAUACGUCUCGGUGGCCCUCUGUGCUGGGAAGCUUCCUACAGUUUGGGCAUCUCACCCUAUGGUUAAAUAUUCAUGGCAUGGCAUCCACUGACCACCGGGCACAAGCCAACCCCAAUUCAAGCUCUUCCUGGUACAAGGCGGCUGCCAGGACCUGGUGUCAUUCUAAGUGGUCACAGGAUGAGACCCUGCAAGAGGAUCUCCAUUUCAGCUUCCAAGAGGCCUCAUUGUGGACAGACCCUGGAUACAGGCAGCUAGAGGCUGGAGAACCCCCGUUCAUCAAGCCUGAUGUGCAGAAGAUACUGGAGCUGCAGAUUAGCAAGAGGGUAGAACUGAAGCUCUGGAAAGAGCAAGGAAGGGAGAGCUUUGACCACGCCUUGAGCUGUGUGGGUGAUAUGCUGCAGUCCUGGAGCAGCGAGCAG
RNAcentral lists this long non-coding RNA (731 nucleotides) under Rattus norvegicus (Norway rat). Its description in RNAcentral is "long non-coding RNA NONRATT012305". The record is from RNAcentral. Lineage: Eukaryota; Metazoa; Chordata; Mammalia; Rodentia; Muridae.